Molecule: long non-coding RNA, 2192 nt
Organism: Passer montanus (Eurasian tree sparrow)
Lineage: Eukaryota; Metazoa; Chordata; Aves; Passeriformes; Passeridae
Exons: 4
Source: RefSeq, a predicted model, not a curated record
GGGCUACUGGAAGCCAUGGCAGGGGAUGGGGCUGGAUAAGCUUCAUGGUCCCUCCCAGCCCAAACCAUCACUGUGAGUCCAUGGCAAAUGGGAUGGGCCAGGCUCAGCUGCCUGCAGGGAGCCCAAGGCAGCAGCCCAUGAGAGGAAAAGCCCUGGUUUAACCAGUGUCUUCUCCUCUGUGCUUGGCCAGCAGCCUGGCUGUGUCCCUGGUGCUCCUGCAGCACUGGAAGAUGAGUGAUUUCAGCGCACAGAGAAACACAUUUCCCCCCAGCUAGUUCAGAGCUGGGCUGAGCCUGUGGAGCGCUGAGAAAAGCGAUCCUGCUCCGGGAGCCUUUAAGGGAGGAAGCUGGGGGGCCAGGAAGGUCUUUUGGAAAACUGAUCCACUGAGCUGGCCUUUCACCUACAUCCCUGGGCUGCUUCUCUGAGCCUUGGGAAAGGUCUCCUGAGGUGCCCAGCUCCCUCCCAGGAGAAACAGCUCCAGGACCCUGUUUUGUGCACUUUGAGAUGCACUGUCUGGAGAGGGAAAUGGCUUUUUCAGGAAUAAUUAUCCAGGAUGAAUUUCCUAAAUGAAAAUACAAGGAGCCAAGAGAGAUUAAAUGCAGACCUGGCCACAGCAGAAGCUUAAAAGCCAGCAGAAAGAGCUGCUUGCUGGGCAAAGCACCUCCCUCGGACAGGGCUGUCCAGAGACCAGGACAGUAGCUCAUUCUUCCCACGCUGUUUUCUGCCCAAGGAACAGCCAAAAGGUCAGGAGUGGCUGGAGAGGGGCAGUGACCAGGCCCUCUGCUGAUCCCUGAGUUCUGCACAGAACCCGAAAACAUCUCUCUAGGAAACUCCCCCAACCUGCCAACUAACUCUCUUUCAAAGGUGCAUGAAACUGCAUUUCCUGCCUCCCACAGCUCCCCUGUCCCACAUGCCACGUGUCCUGCACAGCCAGGGAUGGAGAGCCAGCACCUCCCAUUUUCAACGUAAGGAACAGAAUCCCAGAAUGGUUUGGGUGGGAAAGAACCUCAGAGCCCAUCCAGUGCCACCCCUGCCAUGGGCAGGGACGCCUUCCACCAUCCCAGAUUGCUCCAGCCUCAAUGUCCAGCCUGGCCUUGGGCACUGCCAGGGAUCCAGGGGCAGCCCCAGCUGCUCUGGGCACCCUGUGCCAGCCCUGCCCAUCCUCACAGUCAAUAAUGCCCUCCCAACAUCUAACACCCCUAAAAUGCCCUGUUCUCCAAAGCCACAACACAAGAGCAGGUGCCUGGUGCUAUCUGAUGUCACUGAGGUGAAGGAGAGCAGUCUGUUUGCUCCCACAGCCAGGAAACCAGGUGUGCUUGGAAAACACACCACUGGCAUGUUGUUGCAGAGAUCAGCAGCUAAAAUACACCUCCUCCCAUCUUCCUACCACUGCCCCACGUGCAGGAUGAAGUGGUGUUAAGAUGUGUGUGUCUAUCCCAGUGACCUCCCUAACAAGGAACUUCCAGCUGUGGGAGAGGUUUAACACCAUCUCUUGCUGCUAUUUCACAUGUACAGGUGUGACUCAAAAUGAGCAAGGUUUGAAACCACCAUUAACACUCCCAGCUCAGAGAGAUGACCAGAAUCACAGAAUCAUGGAAUUCCUGAGCUUGCAGAAGACAUGAACGGCAGCGACGCUGAAACCAGCCAAGGAUGAUUCUGUGCCUGUGUGCCAGGGGCUGGGCUGCAGCAGAUUCAGGAGCACGUUACAGGUCAUGGUGGGGGUACAGCCUCCUCCAAGGUCAAGGAAUGCCAGUCUUGGAGGCAGAGGACAUUUCAGCACUGUGGCCCAGCGAGUUUGCCAGCAGCUUUGCUUGCGCACAGGGAUGGAGGGUGAGCAGAUCUGUGUCAACAGGCCACAACCCACCCUGGCACCGGCCUGGCACCUGCCCCUGCUUUCCAGCAAGGAAAUCAGGAAGAUCCAGCAGAUCAAGAAGGAACAACACAACCAAGAAAGGAUGUUUUGGCUGUUGCUGCUGUUGCCAUUUUUGCAACAUACAAAUGCCUGUUUUAGUGAAUCUGCCCAAGGCUUUGUUACUUCAAAUAAUUCACACUGAAGGAACAUCUCGUCUUCUUCCUGUGGUUCUCCGUUGGUGAUCCCUGAGCCUACAACAUCCACCUGCUGCUUGUCAGAGACCUGCUGGCUGAGAGCAGGGCUUUCCCCCGAGCCUCCAUCCUCACUGCUGCUGCACUGC